Molecule: ribosomal RNA, 258 nt
Filed under: uncultured bacterium
Lineage: Bacteria
Description: partial 16S ribosomal RNA
Rfam family: Bacterial small subunit ribosomal RNA
Source: RNAcentral
UACGUAGGGCGCAAGCGUUGUCCGGAAUUAUUGGGCGUAAAGAGCUCGUAGGCGGCCUGUUACGUCUGCUGUGAAAUCCCGGGGCUUAACCCCGGGCGUGCAGUGGAUACGGGCAGGCUGGAGGCAGGCAGGGGAGGAACGGAAUUCCCGGUGGUAGCGGUGGAAAUGCGCAGAUAUCGGGAGGAACGACCGGUGGCGAAGGCGGUUCUCUGGGCCUGUACUGACGCUGAGGAGCGAAAGCGUGGGGGAGCGAACAGG